GCUUUUUUACAUUAAUGUGUCUUUUAUCCACAUGUUUCAUUUUCUGCAUGGCUAAAGUACCUAACCGUGUUUUAACUGUAAUGAGAGAAUGUCAGUGCCCUUAUAGUUGUAUAAGAAAUUUACAUCAGUGUCUGGUAGCUGGAGCAUGUCGUAUAUGUAAAACACCAAACUACGGCAAACGAGGGCUCCAGACUGCCGCCUACAGGGUGAGGGAUUUGAUGGCAGAAGAAGGAUAGUAAUGUCAUGCAACGAAAUCGGAAGAGAAAACUUAUUCCGAAAGCGAACAUUAAAAUUGACAAUGCUGUUACUCUCACUUUAUAUCUUUAAACUUCUUACGAACUUGUAAUUCUUAAAAUGUCUCUAUUAAAGUAAAAUUUGACCAUUUAUUCUAUUAUGUUUAAUUAAACAGAUUAAUAUACUGAUUAAAAACAAG
Molecule: long non-coding RNA, 433 nt
Organism: Saccostrea echinata
Lineage: Eukaryota; Metazoa; Mollusca; Bivalvia; Ostreida; Ostreidae
Exons: 3
Source: RefSeq, a predicted model, not a curated record